Long non-coding RNA from Brassica napus (rape), 1008 nucleotides. RefSeq lists it as uncharacterized. Lineage: Eukaryota; Viridiplantae; Streptophyta; Magnoliopsida; Brassicales; Brassicaceae. The record is from RefSeq and is a predicted model, not a curated record. The transcript has 2 exons.
AUAACUGACUAUUUUGCAGCUAUGGAAAAUUGACUUAAUCGAUGAUGUAUUUUUUUUUAAUGGCAAUUCUGCCCCUACUCCGUAAUUAAACACUUACGUUUUUACACAUAUAUAAACACUCUGUAUAUAUAUAUUACGUACGCGUGAGAAAGCUUGUCAAGACAAACACGAUAACCGAUUAUAUGCAUUUAAUAUAAACCGUAACUUCUCCUUUCUCUCUCAAAAUCACUGUUCACUCAUCUUCCCUUUUCAUCUUGUUUUCUCUAGAAACCUCAUAGAUCAUGAUCUCCAAGUUCUUCCGAAUUAAGGUUUCCAAUCACAUCUGUAACAGUCACAUUUCGACUUCCUGAUCAACGAACCUUCUUGUUUACUCCGCUGACCAUUUUAUCUAGUUUCCUCGCAAAACAUCACCGGCAUCUCUAUCAAUCCCUUUGGUUUCUCCGUAGCGUCGUUUCCUUUUUCUCACAAUCUCCUCGAGUUCUCACCUCCUUGAUAUUUCUGCAACCGACGUUUGACGGGUCCUCUAAUCGGUCGUUUCUUCCUCGUUAGUCUGAUUUUACGAUGGUCUCUGAAGAUGUGUUAAUCUCUGGAACCAUCAUUCAAAUUCUCAAUCACGUACAUCCCCAAAAGCACCGCCGCGAAGUACGUCUUUUACGAGAAUCCAAGGAACAUCGUGUGUGGACUUCUCCGGACAGUGGGAAAGAGCUCUGCCGCAAAAAUAGUGCUUUUCAACAUCCCUUUAGUAACUUUUGUGAUCAAGAUUCUUUCUUUUCUUCUCUUUUUUUUGAGCAAAAAUAUUGAGCAUGUGAUGGUUCUAUCUCUGAAGGGUUUCAUUGCUUUGCAAUUUUGGAGCAGAGGAGUUUCAACGAGCUUCUUCUUAUCAUGUUUUUUUUGUUGCCAAGGAUGUUUGGCUUCCUGUGAUAUAUGUGAAGAUCUUCUGAAGUAAAACAUGCAUCUUUUGGAACAUGAGUUUUGCCAUUUCAAACUAAAGACAGUCAAUUGUUCAAA